This 19-nucleotide ribosomal RNA is filed under the name Strigomonas oncopelti. Its description in RNAcentral is "partial ribosomal RNA". Lineage: Eukaryota; Euglenozoa; Kinetoplastea; Trypanosomatida; Trypanosomatidae. The record is from RNAcentral.
UAUUUAUGUUAAUUUCGCA